AUUAGUUCAAAGCCAGCCCCAGCAACAGUGAAUUGCUAAGCAACUCAGGGAGACCCUGUCUCUAAAUAAAAUACCAAAUAGGGCUGGGGAUGUGGCUCAGUGAUUGAAUGCCCCUGAAUUCAACCCCUGGUACUCCUCACCCCCCAAAAUAUAUAGCAGUCAGUAUAUAACAUUCUUCAAUCUUUCAUUUUCAACCUUUUAGUAUCUUUAUGCUUUAUGCAUAAGAUUCAGGAUCCCAGGGUAUAAACAGGGAAUGCAAUUCAAAAUGUUAAUGGAAGAGAGUUUAAUGAAGGAAUUCUUUAGAAAGGUGUGGAGUGGACAGUAUUAGGGAACCAAAGAAAGAUGAUGAAAUGCUCUAGCCACUGGUCACCAAGAAAGGUAUUUAUGCCCCUAGCUCUAAAAGGUCAAAGAGGAGAACAUUAUUCCUGGAAUCCAACAAAAGCUGUUUCUUGGGAAAGUAGUGCCUGUCAGGAGCUGUUGUCCUAACCAGAGAUAGCUGAAAUACUCUGGCACAGCUGGGAGGGAAACGGGGGGAACUAACAUACCUACUUUUCUUUCUCCCAUCCUAUGAUCUCCUGCCACCAUCUACUAUUGGCCAAACCCUACUAGCAGUUAAAGAAUAAGGUAUUCAGAGAACUGAGUGGGGACACAGAGCCAGACAGAGAAGUGGGGAGAGGAGCCAACAUGGCAGCAGCUCAGGCUGGAUUUGUUGGGGUAGUGAUCGUUUUUAGCUUUUAAACAGAGCACUCUUUCCAUUUAUUGAGAUUAGUCUAUUUAUACCAUCUUAUUUUGUGACUCAUCUGUUUUCUUCUCCUGUCAUGACUGCUUUUUGCUUAUUUGAGCCAAAAUUUUUCCCAUUCUAUUUUUUCCAUUGCUGUCAUUUUAGAAAUUUAUCAUGUACUGCCUUUAACUCCCCACCAAACAAUGGAAGGAUCUUUGGAGCACUUUUAUUAUUCCUCUCUUUACUUAUAUGUAAAAAUCAUUGUUGGGUAUUUUUAAACCAAUAAGAUAUUAUUUAUUGUUCUGUAUAGCCAAUAUUUAUUUAGAUUCACCUGCUUUCCUUGAUUAACAUUUGUUCUUGCAUCUUAAACUUUCCAUCUCAAAUCAUUCUCUCUCUUUCAAUCUUUUGGAAUGUCCGCCAUGGAGAUCUAUUGGUGAUAAACUCUUCAUACAAUUUCUUAUUUUUGAAACUGUCUUCAUCUCACCCUCGACAUUGAAUAACAUUUUUGCCAAGUGUAUAAUUUUAGGUUGACAUCUUCACAUAUAUUAUUUCAUAGCCUCAGGGUGUUCAUAUAUUUGUUGAGAUGUCUGCUGUCAACCUCAUUGUCACUCCUUUGAAGGAUAGAUUUAUAAAUAUUUUCCACAUUUUUGGUGUUGCAGUUUCACCAUGAUAUGUCUAGAUGUCAAUUUCUUUAAAUAUGUAUCCUUCUUGGGAUUUAUGGAUAAUUCUAGGACUUGUUGACUGCAAUCUUUCAUUGGUUCAUAACAAUUAUCAUAUUCCUUCAAAUAUUACCUCUGCUUCAUUUGUUCCCUUUCCUCUCCUUUUUGGAACACUGAAUAAAAUUUUC
Molecule: long non-coding RNA, 1568 nt
Filed under: Marmota monax (woodchuck)
Lineage: Eukaryota; Metazoa; Chordata; Mammalia; Rodentia; Sciuridae
Source: RNAcentral